RNAcentral lists this ribosomal RNA (496 nucleotides) under uncultured bacterium. RNAcentral describes it as "partial 16S ribosomal RNA". It matches the Rfam family "Bacterial small subunit ribosomal RNA", at positions 28 to 506 of the family's 1533-position model. The record is from RNAcentral.
GAUGAACGCUGGCGGCGUGCCUAAUACAUGCAAGUCGAGCGAACGGACGAGAAGCUUGCUCCUCUGAUGUUAGCGGCGGACGGGUGAGUAACAUGUGGAUAACCUACCUAUAAGACUGGGAUAAUUUCGGGAAACCGUAGCUUAUACCGGAUAAUAUUUUGAACCGCAUGGUUCAAAAGUGAAAGACGGUCUUGCUGUCACUUAUAGAUGGAAACGCGCUGCAUUAGCUAGUUGGUAAGGUAACGGCUUACCAAGGCAACGAUGCAUAGCCGACCUAAGAGGGUGAUCGGCAACUGUGGAGCUGGGACGCGCUGCAGAAUCCGACGGGAGGCAGCGGCAGGAAAUCUACGGCAAGGAGCGGAAGCGUGAAGUAGCAACGGGGCGUGAGUGAUGAAGGGCUACGGAUCGUAAGACUUUGUUAUUAGAGAAGAGCAUAGGUGUAAGUAACGGUACGCUAAUGAACGGUACCGAAUCAGAAGGCCACGGUUAACUCGGG